Molecule: ribosomal RNA, 446 nt
Filed under: uncultured bacterium
Lineage: Bacteria
Description: partial 16S ribosomal RNA
Rfam family: Bacterial small subunit ribosomal RNA
Source: RNAcentral
AACGAACGCUGGCGGCAGGCUUAACACAUGCAAGUCGAACGCUCCGCAAGGGGCGUGGCGCACGGGUGAGUAACACGUGGGAACAUGCACUUGGGUACGGAAUAACGGCGGGAAACUGCCGAUAAUAUCGUAUGAUGUCUUCGGACCAAAUGUUUAUCGUCCAAGGAUUGGCCCGCGGCUGAUUAGCUAGUUGGUGGGGUAAUGGCCUAUCACGGCUACGAUGAGUAGCUGGUCUGAGAGGACGACCAGCCACACUGGGACUGAGACACGGCCCAGACUCCUACGGGGGGCAGCAGUGGGAAAUAUUGGGCAAUGGGGGAAACCCUGAUCUAGCCAUGCCGCGUGAGUGCUAAGGCCUUCGGGUUGUAAAACUCUUUCGCGAGGGAAGAUAAUGACGGUACCUCGAGAAGAAGCUCCGGCUAACUUCGUGCCAGCCGCCGCAGUAA